CAGACCGGUCUGUCGCUGGUAUUUUAUACAAGAGGAAAGUCCGGGCAACACAGAGCAUCCUACUUCCUAACAGAAAGCUGUCCGCGAGGGUAGAGUAAUGCAGAAGAGAAUAACCGCCCCUUUCCGGGGUAAGGGUGAGAAGGUGGGGUAAGAGCCCACCAGCCGCAUAGCGAUAUGCGGGCUGUGCAUCUUAGGAGUUGUAAGGUCAUGUAAACCGGCAUUAACGAGGGUUGCUCGCCCCACGUCGGAGGGUGGACCGCUAGAGCUGGCCGGUGACGGUCGGAGUAGAUAAAUGACAGACAUCCCUGCCAGUCAGGGAAACAGAACCCGGCUUACAGGUCUGCUGC
This 347-nucleotide RNase P RNA is filed under the name uncultured Phocaeicola sp. Its description in RNAcentral is "Bacterial RNase P class A". It matches the Rfam family "Bacterial RNase P class A". Rfam says of the family: Ribonuclease P (RNase P) is a ubiquitous endoribonuclease, found in archaea, bacteria and eukarya as well as chloroplasts and mitochondria. Its best characterised activity is the generation of mature 5'-ends of tRNAs by cleaving the 5'-leader elements of precursor-tRNAs. Lineage: Bacteria; Pseudomonadati; Bacteroidota; Bacteroidia; Bacteroidales; Bacteroidaceae. The record is from RNAcentral.